UGGGGAAUAUUGCACAAUGGGCGAAAGCCUGAUGCAGCAACGCCGCGUGAGGGAUGACGGCCUUCGGGUUGUAAACCUCUUUUAGUAGGGAAGAAGCGAAAGUGACGGUACCUGCAGAAAAAGCACCGGCUAACUACGUGCCAGCAGCCGCGGUAAUACGUAGGGUGCAAGCGUUGUCCGGAAUUAUUGGGCGUAAAGAGCUCGUAGGCGGUUUGUCGCGUCUGCUGUGAAAUCCCGAGGCUCAACCUCGGGUCUGCAGUGGGUACGGGCAGACUAGAGUGUGGUAGGGGAGAUUGGAAUUCCUGGUGUAGCGGUGGAAUGCGCAGAUAUCAGGAGGAACACCGAUGGCGAAGGCAGAUCUCUGGGCCAUUACUGACGCUGAGGAGCGAAAGCAUGGAGAGCGAACA
Molecule: ribosomal RNA, 407 nt
Filed under: uncultured bacterium
Lineage: Bacteria
Description: partial 16S ribosomal RNA
Rfam family: Bacterial small subunit ribosomal RNA
Source: RNAcentral